Molecule: ribosomal RNA, 432 nt
Filed under: uncultured bacterium
Lineage: Bacteria
Description: partial 16S ribosomal RNA
Rfam family: Bacterial small subunit ribosomal RNA
Source: RNAcentral
AACGAACGCUGGCGGCAUGCCUAACACAUGCAAGUCGAACGAGACCUUCGGGUCUAGUGGCGCACGGGUGCGUAACGCGUGGGAACCUGCCCUUAGGUUCGGAAUAACUCCCCGAAAGGGGUGCUAAUACCGGAUAAUGUCUUCGGACCAAAGAUUUAUCGCCUUUGGAUGGGCCCGCGUUGGAUUAGCUAGUUGGUAGGGUAAAAGCCUACCAAGGCGACGAUCCAUAGCUGGUCUGAGAGGAUGAUCAGCCACACUGGGACUGAGACACGGCCCAGACUCCUACGGGAGGCCGCAGUGGGGAAUAUUGGACAAUGGGCGAAAGCCUGAUCCCGCACUGCCGCGUGAGUGAUGAAGGCCUUAGGGUUGUAAAGCUCUUUUACCCGGGAUGAUAAUGACAGUACCGGGAGAAUAAGCUCCGGCUAACUCCGU